RNAcentral lists this unclassified non-coding RNA (6947 nucleotides) under Aplysia californica (California sea hare). Its description in RNAcentral is "uncharacterized LOC101860308, transcript variant X2". The record is from RNAcentral. Lineage: Eukaryota; Metazoa; Mollusca; Gastropoda; Aplysiida; Aplysiidae.
AAGAGCUUCCGCGGGAAUUUCCGGAGAGACAUUGAGUGAGAGACAGUGAAGGAAUGCGCUUGAUAGUCUUGUGAAUCAGCCUUCUUUUACUAAUAUUGUUUAAUGUGGAAACGUCUCGAUUGCUGUGCAAAAUACAUCUUGUAAAGGUGAAGUGGCAUUUGAAGCAGAAAAGUUGAGAUCGGUCAAUAUGACUGGAUGAAGCAAGAGUUGACGUCUGUCAAUCAUAAGUCAAUGUGACUGGAUGCAACAGAAGACCAAAGAGCUGACUGUCAAUGCGCCUGGAUGAAGCAGUUCUAAGAGUUGACAUCUGUCAAUGUGACCGGAUGAAUGGCAUCGAGCGGACCUUCGGAGGAGUGGCGUCUGCGACGGGCGGGGCCUCCCUCCACGGUCAACAACAGCGCCUCUCUGAUCCGACUGCGCAAUGAGGGUCAGGUGACGGUGGGCAGGGGGCCGAGUGCCGACUAUUUCUUGGACUCUGCCGUGACUUUGCGGCUGAUAUCUCGCGUCCAUGCCUCCAUCAUCGGGGAGCGCCUGGACAAUGGAGGUCAACAGUUCACGGUGGUCAACUCUGGCCUCAACGGGACCUACAUCAACGACUUCAAGAUGGGCAUACAGUCGGACAACAGCGUGCGUCUGCGCGAGGGAGACAAGGUCACCUUCGGUCACCCGGGCUGUGCUUCCAUCAAAGUGGGAGAGCUCGCUCCGCAGCCUCAGUCCGAGUUCCAGUUUAUUUUAGAGCAUGUGCCGUGUGGGGACACAGCCCAGGUCAAGGACACGAAUGCUCGGGGAGUGAUCACGCCCGCGACUGUCGGCUCGGAUUUCUCCCACAUGGUCAAAGAGCCACGGCAUGAAAGGGAGGAGGUCUCCCUGUCCGAGAAGGAGAACAAGAGCGGCCGGCGCUCGUCGCACAAGUCGCCCGGUGUGUCUCGGGCCGUUUCCGUGGACGCUGCCACCCCAACCAGACCACAUGCAUCGGAGUCGACAUCUUCAUCAUCGUCGGGUUCCUCUUUGUUGUCCGACGGUCAGAAAGGUCGGGUCCGGAAGAGACCCAGUCUCGACGCCUCAACAGAUGUGAGCGUAAGUUGUAGCAGGUCCCCGGCAGACAUGAGCAUGACUUAUAGCCGGGCGUCGAGCAGUCCGGACGUGAUCUUCGUGUCGGAGCAGGGGGCGCUGCUGCCUCCUCGUGUGGAGAUCAAGGAGGAAGAAGACGAGGGGGAUGAGUGGCCGGACAGGAGGGAGGAGGGUGAUGGCGGUGACGAUAACGAUGGUGGCUCUGGCUGGGGGCAGAGCGGGCUGGCGGAGGUCGUCCCCGAAGGUGGUGGGGGGGAUGGGUCGAAGGUCACCCACCACAGGGAAACCCCGAACCAGUCUGGGGAAAAGCCAAAACAGACUGGGAACAGGUCAAAGGUCAAUGGAGAUGUGUUGUCGACACUGGGUGUGGAGAGGUCGAAGGUCGGCCAAGAUGCGUCUUCAAAACAGACUGCAGAGAGACCAGAGGUCGUUUCGCAUGCGUUGUCGAAAGAGGCUGUUGAUGGGCCAAAGAUCAUCCAAGAUAUUUUGACAAAACAGGCUGUUGAUAGGCCAAAGAUCAUCCAAGAUAUUUUGACAAAACAGGCUGUUGAUAGGCCAAAGUUCAUCCAAGAUAUUUUAGCAAAACAGGCUGUUGAUGGGCCAAAGGUCAUCCAAGAUAUUUUGACAAAACAGGCUGUUGAUAGGCCAAAGUUCAUCCAAGAUAUUUUGGCAAAACAGGCUGUUGAUAGGCCAAUAGUUGCUCAGGAGGUUUCGUCAAAACAUGGUGCAGAAAGAGGGGGCGUGAGUCCUGUUUGUGCUGAUUCCCUGCGUGCAGAAAGAGGGGGCAUGAGUCCUGUUUGUGCUGAUUCCCUGCGUGCAGAAAGAGGGGGCAUGAGUCCUGUUUGUGCUGAUUCCCUGCGUGCAGAAAGAGGGGGCAUGAGUCCUGUUUGUGCUGAUUCCCUGCGUGCAGAAAGAGGGGGCGUGAGUCCUGUUUGUGCCGAUUCCCUGCGUGCAAGUGACCAAAAUGUCAGGCUACUUUCACAGCUGCCAUCUGGCAAAGACACGUGUCUCCCUGGUCAAUUGAGCCGGUGUGACGAGACAGACUGUGGUGUUAAAAGUGAAGGUCGUGUUGGCCUUACAAGUCAAAGGAGAGAUGUGAAAAUCGACAAAAGCGUAAGUAUUUUGGACAAAAUAAACUGUGGCCAUGCUGAGAGCCGGACAAGCCUUGUGAAUAAAACAAACUGUGGCCAUGCUGAGAGCCGGACAAGCCUUGUGAAUAAAACAAACUUUGCAAAAGUUGAAGGUCAUACGUGUAUUGUGAAUAAUAAAAACCGUGUCAAAGGUAAAGGUCAUGCAACUAUUCCGGAUAAAGCUAGCAAUAUGAAGGAAGAAGGCAAUGCUCAUGUUGUGAAGAAAGCAGACCAGUGUGCCAAAGCAGACGUUGUUUGUGGCGAUUUGGAGCCUGGUACCUGGCGACCGCCCCCAUCCACGCGACCGCCUCCCUCUAAAGCUGCCAUAAAGCCGCAUGAAAAGUCUGCCGGACUCCUCCCAGCCACAUGUCAAAAGCUUGCAGAGAUCAAGGUCAUCACGGAGGAUUUGUGUGGGAAGAAAGCGGACACUCCCCCGUUUGCUCCGGAGGACAAGUUGACCUCGGUCAGCCCCAAGAUUUCCCCGGAUUCGCAGCUGCGGCCGCUAAUGCCUUGCAAUAUGGCUAGUCUGAAUAACACGAUUCCGGCGUUGCCCGUUAAACCUGUCUUUGGUUCGUUCGGUUUGCAUGAUGAAAGCAUGAAAGCGGAGAAGAAGCUCUUAUUCUCAAACCAAAGCUUCAACAAACCGAACAACCUUCACAAGUUGGAAGUAGCAGCGGAAGGAAAACUGAAGUCCGGCUCUGUGGUCAGCUCCGGUACCUCUGUGGUCAAGCAGUCGUUAGAUGGAAUAAAGAAAUCCGAGUGGACGCGUGGUGGUGGUGGUGGUAGAGCGGAGGCCGUCUCGUCGUCUGCUGUGGUAGAGACACCUCGUUGUACCUCUGGGGGGAAAGACCGGGGUUCUUCCAGCCUGCGGGGUAAGCCCACCAUCACCCCCACCACCACCACCCCCACACCGACGUGUGUUGUGUCGUCUGCUUCCUCGUCAGCCCGGCAGUUAUCAGGCCAGGGGGGGUGGGUGCGGUCGGACGUAGGGGUGGGCGUGGUGGUGUCUGAGAACUGUGGGACUGACGGGUCGCACCAGUGCCGGGACGUAGACAGUAGCACGUGCACCGCGCUGGUCAGCUCGACCCGGUCGAAGGAAGACGUGGCCCCCAGCUCCACACAGGAAGGGCCUUCACCGUGCUCGACGCAAGCAACAGAAACGCCUCAGGUGGCCUCGCAGGCUUCUUCGGAACUGUCCUCAUCAUCAUCCUCGUCGUCCAUAUCUUCAUCUUCAUCAUCAUCGUCAUCUUCGCCGACAUCAUCAGCGGAGAGCUCAGCCGCGGUACCUACAGGUUCCACAGAGCCAGAGGAACCGGCUGAAAGUUUACGUCUACUUCAAAAACCGCCCAAUUCCAAAGAGAUUUCCACCGUAGAAAACCACUCAGAUGCUCGGCCCCCAAAUCGAAAACUUGAGGCGGCACCACCGCCGGCCCUCCCCACUUCUAGAUCCUCCUCAUCCGUGCACCCUGUGACCCCUGGGCGUACGACCAACUCCCCCGCCCACCCCACUCACAAAGACGUACCCAGCUCCAUGUCCAAGCCUGAACUGGACCAGAGGCCUGUCUCCCGGAACACUGACCACAAGGUCUGUGACCAUCUGCUGUUGGACAGCUCCCCGCCCCUGCUAGAAGGGACAGCUCUGGGCUUGUUCGGCAGCUCGGACGAGGAAGAAGACGAGCCGCGAGGCGUCAACAACACCAAGAAGAUCAUGAAGCGGAUCUACUCGCCACGACACCACUCGUCCGGGCCGCCCAGUCAGUGCAAACGGUCAAAGGUUCCACCUUCAUCGUCAUCGUCUCCGUCGUCGCUGUUAUUAUCAUCCCACAAACACAAAGGGGACAGCCCAGCAGGUGACCGGCCGAAAACCGCAAAAAUGUCAACAAAGUGGUUAUCAUCAUCAUCAUCAUCAUCAUCAUCAUCAUCGUCGUCGUUGCAAGCUGUGACAGUGAAGGCAGUGGAGAUACCUGUGGAGGAGGAUAGUGAUGGUUCAGAUGCGACGUCGUCGUCCUCAGACCUGUCUGACCUUGAGAGACACUUCCCGUCUCUGGCCACUCGCCCCCCCAUCACCAAAGUGGCCACUCCCAAGACAGCGCCGGCCAAGCGGAAACGUCGCGGUUCUUCCUCUGUUUCCUCCUCCUCCUCAGAUUCCCAGACACCUCAACAGCUGUCAGCAGCGUCGGUGCCGUCGCGUUCUUCGGGCCGGAAGGAUCAGCGAGGUCAAGGUCGUACGGGUGUUCCUACAUCUGGGACAACGACGAGAGUGGCGGGGGAAUUGGUGGGGAAGACUGCGGCAAAGUCUGGGACGCCGCUGAGGAACGUUUGCGACAAGAGUGGCAAGGAUCCCGUGGUGGUGAUGGUGCCGGUUGAGACAUCGAUGGUCAAGUCCUCCGCAGACGCGAGUCGCAGGUCCAAGGGCAAGGUCGAGGCCGGGAAGCAGAGCUCGAGUCGUAGUAGUCCUGCUACUGCAAGGUCGGGGUCAACAUCAGGGUCAUCGAAGUCAGGGUCGUCUGUUCCAGGAGGGCCGUCUAAGCCAGUUUCUGUGUCGUCAGGGUCAGGGUCAUCUGGGGGUGAGAGGUCAGUGGCUGCACGAACAGACAGUGGUCGGUCUGCGACUCAGACAGUGCUCAACGAAGACAAGUCCACGUUUGGCAUAGCGCUGGCCAGCUCUCGCUCGAUGGCUCGCACAGGGGGAGGAAGCAAAAAGUCGUCCGGAGUUGUCACUCCCAGCAGUCAUCGAGCCUCCUCAAAGUCAAAUCUGCCGGAGAAGCAAAAGCAAGCACCCGGCGGUCUGAGAACUGGUCAUUCUCAGAAGACUGACCGCUCUUGGGCGGAUGACCCGUGGGUCAAGACACACUCCAACCGCCCGCCGAAACCAUCGACCGGGACGAGCAGCGACAGAAAGACUGGCGAGCUGGAUCGACGGGAGGACAGGAAGACGUUGUCUAAGGGAGAUAACGCCGCAGUGGUGGCUCACAAAGGGAAGCAAUCCGGCGUAUCUCAGAAAGGGAAGUCGUCCUCCUCUGUAGGUGUCAAGGCCUCGUCGAUAGCGGCUAAGCCGAGCCAUCACGCCCAAUCAGGUCAGGGAAAGGUGGAGUUGGAGGAGAAAAACAGAAAGAAGGAGAGAAAGAAGAAGCCUCCGUCUGCAAAACGACAGAGAGUGAUGUCUGGGACUGAUUCAUCAAGCGAGGAUUCGGAAAGUCCUGGCAGAGCCUUGCGGAGUCUACGCGCCAGGCCGAGAGAGAGCCAGACAGGAAGUGGAAGGAGCACACGAUCGUCUCAAGCCAAGAAAGCCGCGCCGUCAAAGAAAGAGAAGAAGAGGCGAGCGAUGAUGGAGGACAGCAGCGAGGGGGACGUGGAGGAAGAGGACGAGGGGGAGGACGGGGUGCAGUACUGCGACGAGUCGUGUCAGGCCGCAGACUGUCUCAACCCGGAGGGCGACGAGGUGCAGUGGGUCCUGUGCGACAAGUGUUUGAAGUGGUACCACGUGGAGUGCAUCGACUGUCCGCCGGAGGUCCUGGAGGAGGAGAACGCCCAAUUCUUCUGUCCCAGUUGUAAAUGAGGUCAACGCCUGAAUGCCCAAUUCUCCUGUCCCAGUUGUAAAUGAGGUCAACGCCUGAAUGCCCAAUUCUCCUGUCCCAGUUGUAAAUGAGGUCAACGCCUGAAUGCCCAAUUCUUCUGUCCCAGUUGUAAAUGAGGUGUUAGAAAAGGAAAAUGCCCAAUUCUUCUGUCCCAGUUGUAAAUGAGGUCUCAGAAGAGAAACUCGCCUAAAUGCCCUGUUUUUCUGUCCAAGUUGUAAAUAAAAUGUAGGUCAUGGGCGAGCGUUGGGAGCUUUCUGUUCCGAAUGUGUUCACAAGUGAUACGAAGGAGUCCUUCUAGCUUUGUCUGUAAGACAGGAGAGGCUGAGAUCUUCCGUCACUGACAGAGGGCUCGUUAUGUUUGCUUUGAGGAUCGGGCAAAGGGAGGGACCGAACUCACUAGUUGUUUGAAACUAAGCAAGUGACACGUGGAUACAAGUGAAGAAACAGACAUUCACACUGUGGAACAGACAUUCACACUGUGGAACAGACUUCCACCAGACAUUCACGUAGUGGAACAGACAUUCACGUAGUGGAACAGACAUUCACGUAGUGGAACAGACAUUCACGUAGUGAUUCACGUAGUGAUUCACGUAGUGAUUCACGUAGUGGAACAGACAUUCACGUAGUGGAACAGAUACACUAGCAGAUGCACACACUCACAUUUAGAUUCUCAAGGCAUGUUGUGAGUGCAGAUGAAAUUGUUCUGACAUCAGCAAAAAGAAAGUUGUUUCUCUGUGGUUGAAAACAGGCGUGCCGUCUACCUGCCAUAGACUGGUCACAACCCGUCCGCAGCCACAUACAUGCAGAAUGAACCAAAUACACGCAGAAUGAACCAAAUACACACUGAAUGAACCAAAUACACGCAGAAUGAACCAAAUACACACAGAAUGAACCAAAUACACACAGAAUGAACCAAAUACACACUGAAUGAACCAAAUACACGCAGAAUGAACCAAAUACACACUGAAUGAACAAAAUACACGCAGAAUGAACCAAAUACACGCAGAAUGAACAAAAUACACGCAGAAUGAACAAAAUACACGCAGAAUGAACCAAAUACACACAGAAUGAACCAAAUACACGCAGAAUGAACCAAAUACACGCAGAAUGAACCAAAUACACGCAGAAUGAACCAAAUACACGCAGAAUGAACCAAAUACACCCUGAA